GGGUUGUGAGGUUAAGCGACUAAGCGUACACGGUGGAUGCCCUGGCAGUCAGAGGCGAUGAAGGGCGUGCUAAUCUGCGAUAAGCGCCGGUAAGGUGAUAUGAACCGUUAUAACCGGCGAUACCCGAAUGGGGAAACCCAGUGUGACUCGUCACACUAUCAUUAACUGAAUCCAUAGGUUAAUGAGGCGAACCGGGGGAACUGAAACAUCUAAGUACCCCGAGGAAAAGAAAUCAACCGAGAUUCCCCCAGUAGCGGCGAGCGAACGGGGAGGAGCCCAGAGCCUGAAUCAGCAUGUGUGUUAGUGGAAGCGUCUGGAAAGGCGCGCGAUACAGGGUGACAGCCCCGUACACAAAAGCGCAUGUGCUGUGAGCUCGAUGAGUAGGGCGGGACACGUGGUAUCCUGUCUGAAUAUGGGGGGACCAUCCUCCAAGGCUAAAUACUCCUGACUGACCGAUAGUGAACCAGUACCGUGAGGGAAAGGCGAAAAGAACCCCGGCGAGGGGAGUGAAAAAGAACCUGAAACCGUGUACGUACAAGCAGUGGGAGCACAGGUUUACCUGUGUGACUGCGUACCUUUUGUAUAAUGGGUCAGCGACUUAUAUUCUGUAGCAAGGUUAACCGUAUAGGGGAGCCGAAGGGAAACCGAGUCUUAACCGGGCGUUAAGUUGCAGGGUAUAGACCCGAAACCCGGUGAUCUAGCCAUGGGCAGGUUGAAGGUUGGGUAACACUAACUGGAGGACCGAACCGACUAAUGUUGAAAAAUUAGCGGAUGACCUGUGGCUGGGGGUGAAAGGCCAAUCAAACCGGGAGAUAGCUGGUUCUCCCCGAAAGCUAUUUAGGUAGCGCCUCGUGAACUCAUCUCCGGGGGUAGAGCACUGUUUCGGCUAGGGGGCCAUCCCGGCUUACCAACCCGAUGCAAACUGCGAAUACCGGAGAAUGUUAUCACGGGAGACACACGGCGGGUGCUAACGUCCGUCGUGAAGAGGGAAACAACCCAGACCGCCAGCUAAGGUCCCAAAGUCAUGGUUAAGUGGGAAACGAUGUGGGAAGGCCCAGACAGCCAGGAUGUUGGCUUAGAAGCAGCCAUCAUUUAAAGAAAGCGUAAUAGCUCACUGGUCGAGUCGGCCUGCGCGGAAGAUGUAACGGGGCUAAACCAUGCACCGAAGCUGCGGCAGCGACAUUUAGGUGUUGUUGGGUAGGGGAGCGUUCUGUAAGCCUGUGAAGGUGGCCUGUGAGGGUUGCUGGAGGUAUCAGAAGUGCGAAUGCUGACAUAAGUAACGAUAAAGCGGGUGAAAAGCCCGCUCGCCGGAAGACCAAGGGUUCCUGUCCAACGUUAAUCGGGGCAGGGUGAGUCGACCCCUAAGGCGAGGCCGA
Molecule: ribosomal RNA, 1376 nt
Filed under: Salmonella enterica subsp. enterica serovar Napoli
Lineage: Bacteria; Pseudomonadati; Pseudomonadota; Gammaproteobacteria; Enterobacterales; Enterobacteriaceae
Also listed under: 1 other name
Description: partial 23S ribosomal RNA
Rfam family: Bacterial large subunit ribosomal RNA
Source: RNAcentral